UCCCUGGUGGACUAGAGCUAGCAUGUGGCGUUCUCAUCGCCAUGUUCCGGGUUCGAUUCCCGGUCAGGGAA
RNAcentral lists this transfer RNA (71 nucleotides) under Pangasianodon gigas (Mekong giant catfish). RNAcentral's name for it is "tRNA-Glu". It matches the Rfam family "tRNA". From Rfam's summary of the family: Transfer RNA (tRNA) molecules are approximately 80 nucleotides in length. Their secondary structure includes four short double-helical elements and three loops (D, anti-codon, and T loops). Lineage: Eukaryota; Metazoa; Chordata; Actinopteri; Siluriformes; Pangasiidae. The record is from RNAcentral.